RNAcentral lists this ribosomal RNA (322 nucleotides) under uncultured eukaryote. RNAcentral describes it as "partial 18S ribosomal RNA". It matches the Rfam family "Eukaryotic small subunit ribosomal RNA", at positions 1470 to 1796 of the family's 1831-position model. The record is from RNAcentral.
CCCUUAGAUGUUCUGGGCCGCACGCGUGCUACACUGAACGGUUCAAUGGGUGAGGUAGUGCGAAAGCAUGACCCAAUCUCAAAAUCCGUUCGUGCUGGGGAUAGAAGCUUGCAAUUCUCCUUCUUGAACGGGGAAUACCUUGUAAGCGCGAGUCAUCAUCUCGCGCUGAAUACGUCCCUGCCCUUUGUACACACCGCCCGUCGCUCCUACCGAUUGAGUGGUCCGGUGAGGCUUCGGGAGAGCUAAAUGGAUUGUGUUUCACAAACUAUUUGGCUUGAACUUAGUCAAACCUUACUACUUAGAGGAAGGAGAAGUCGUAACA